GGACUCCAAAAUCUUUUCCGCUCCAGACUUCUCUGCAUCUACAUGAAGUUUGGUUCCAGUUUUUCCCAGGAAAUACCUUAGCCAUGUCUGAUAUCUUUGCAGAUAUUAUUGUCUUCUCUGGAUUCAGAUUGAAAAAGGCAACAUAUAUCUCUCCUUUUCUUCCUGCUGCAACCCAAGACCGAGCUCCACUGGGACCAGUUUUAGCAUUGACUUGAGCACAGAGUCCAGAAUAAUUGCUGAUGAGGGCUCCGGUAUUUUUCAACUCCCACAUCUGGUUCGCG
Molecule: unclassified non-coding RNA, 281 nt
Filed under: Hevea brasiliensis (rubber tree)
Lineage: Eukaryota; Viridiplantae; Streptophyta; Magnoliopsida; Malpighiales; Euphorbiaceae
Source: RNAcentral